RNAcentral lists this long non-coding RNA (954 nucleotides) under Gossypium barbadense (sea-island cotton). RNAcentral's name for it is "long non-coding RNA (GBAR_LNC003392)". The record is from RNAcentral. Lineage: Eukaryota; Viridiplantae; Streptophyta; Magnoliopsida; Malvales; Malvaceae.
AAACAUGUAUAUCAUCGGCUAUUUUAUUAGCUAAUCACUAGCAAGUAUUUACACAUCAUUCAUUGUUCAUAUUAUACCAAAAGUAGCUAAGUUUCUAUACAUGCCAUACCCAAAACAAAACGUCUAAUUAUACCGAGUUAUUUCUUUGAUAGUGUGAUCAGCCUCCGACGUUUCCUUCGAUCCCCGGGUGACUAGAUAAGUACUAUAAGAAAAAGAAAAUAAAGAGAUUAAGCACUAGGCUUAGUAAGCUUACAAGCAAAUAAAUCACAACAUUCAACAUAAUGGAUAAUUAUGCAUAAUAUCAUCUAACAUCAUAAAUUUCUUUACUUCUCAAUUUCUAUCUUCUUCUUUAUUCCCUUACCUUCAUUCUUACCUGACCUUUCCUUUUUCAUAAGUAUAAUCUACUUUUCCUUUGCUGUUAAUUCACUGUAAUUUAACUCGUAUCCUGACCCGUUGAACCACUCGGAAUACUAAGGAUACUAGGGUCGUUCCUGUCUAUCAAUAUCCUGCCAAUGCCAUGUCUUUGACAUGGACUUACAUGAAUUAUUCAUGUCUCCAAUGCCAUAUAUAAUAUGGACUUACAUGGCUCAUCUCCAAAACCAUAUUUCUAAUAUGGACUUACAUGGCUCAUUUCUGUUCUGUCCUGUCAACCCUAAUAUCCUAACAUUCCUAGGGUUCAACCGGGGCUUUCUAACACUUUUCCUCUGUCACUUCACCUUAAAUUCGACUUUAAAUAUUUUCAUAACAUAAAUAUAUAAAUGCUGGAAAUUGACAAUAAUAAUGUAAAAUAAAAGAAUAUUGCAUUUAUUUACUAUAACUUACCUUGAUACAAAAUGUGACUAAACUUUACAAUUUAGUCCUUUACUUUUUCUUUUCCCUGAUCUACUCCCGAAUUUCGUUCUUCUUGAUCUAUAAUAGCAAUUUUAACUUAUUUAAUAUUCACAUUUAUUAAAA